RNAcentral lists this ribosomal RNA (709 nucleotides) under Citricoccus sp. EGI 80186. RNAcentral describes it as "bacterial SSU rRNA". It matches the Rfam family "Bacterial small subunit ribosomal RNA", at positions 77 to 799 of the family's 1533-position model. The record is from RNAcentral. Lineage: Bacteria; Bacillati; Actinomycetota; Actinomycetes; Micrococcales; Micrococcaceae.
AGCUUGCUGGGGUGGAUGAGUGGCGAACGGGUGAGUAACACGUGAGUAACCUUCCCUUGACUCUGGGAUAAGCCUGGGAAACCGGGUCUAAUACCGGAUACGACCUCUUGCCGCAUGGUGGGGGGUGGAAAGAUUUAUCGGUCUUGGAUGGACUCGCGGCCUAUCAGCUGGUUGGUGGGGUAAUGGCCCACCAAGGCGACGACGGGUAGCCGGCCUGAGAGGGUGACCGGCCACACUGGGACUGAGACACGGCCCAGACUCCUACGGGAGGCAGCAGUGGGGAAUAUUGCACAAUGGGCGCAAGCCUGAUGCAGCGACGCCGCGUGAGGGAUGACGGCCUUCGGGUUGUAAACCUCUUUCAGUAGGGAAGAAGCGAAAGUGACGGUACCUGCAGAAGAAGCGCCGGCUAACUACGUGCCAGCAGCCGCGGUAAUACGUAGGGCGCGAGCGUUAUCCGGAAUUAUUGGGCGUAAAGAGCUCGUAGGCGGUUUGUCGCGUCUGCCGUGAAAGUCCGGGGCUUAACCCCGGAUCUGCGGUGGGUACGGGCAGACUGGAGUGCAGUAGGGGAGACUGGAAUUCCUGGUGUAGCGGUGAAAUGCGCAGAUAUCAGGAGGAACACCGAUGGCGAAGGCAGGUCUCUGGGCUGUUACUGACGCUGAGGAGCGAAAGCAUGGGGAGCGAACAGGAUUAGAUACCCUGGUAGUCCAUG